UUGUUUACGAGCAAGUAGAAUGGCGGUCGGAAGGCAACCCAACGAGCUUCCUCAGGUUUUGGUUCUAAGUCCUCCCGCGAUUUUCACAUCUCUGGAAUCCCAAUUCUCAAUCAGAUUUCAUAUGCUAAAACCAUGGGAUUCCAAACUCCCAUUACUCCAAUUUCUCACCUCUUAUGCCCAAUCCGUCCCAGCCAUGCUCGUUGUUCCAGGUGACCGUCUUCUAGUAAACUCCGCCAUUCUCGACUGCCUCCCGUCGCUGAAACUCGUCGUCACUACCAGCGCCGGUGUCGAUCACUUGGACGUCGCGGAGCUACGGCGGCGUGGGGUGGCCAUUGCCUAUGCAGGAAACUUGUUUUCUCAAGAUGUCGCUGACAUGGCGGUGGGAUUACUAAUCGACGUUCUGAGGAAUGUGUCGGCAGGAGAUCGGUUCGUGAGGCUAGGGCUUUGGCCUACGCAACGGGAUUUCCCUCUCGCAUUAAAGUUAAGCGGCAAGCAAAUUGGGAUAGUUGGAUUGGGGAAAAUAGGCACAGAAGUAGCCAAACGGCUGGAGGGUUUUGGGUGCAGAAUCUCAUACAACUCAAGAACCAAAAAGCCAUUAGUAUCAUACUCCUACUAUUCCAAUGUACAUGAACUUGCAGCCAACUGUGAGGCCCUGAUCAUUUGUUGUGGCUUAACGGCCGAAACCCGCCAUAUGAUCGACAGGGAGGUGAUGGUUGCGUUAGGCAAAGAUGGAGUGAUAAUCAACGUCGGCCGAGGGGCGAUCGUCGACGAGACGGAGCUGAUUCGAUGUUUGAUUCAAGGGGAGAUUAGGGGAGCUGGGCUGGAUGUGUUUGAGAAUGACCCUGAAAUUCCUAAAGAGCUGUUUAAUCUUGAUAAUGUAGUGUUGUCGCCACAUGUUGCUGUGUUAACAACUGAAUCUAUGGUGGGAUUGACUCAAUUGGCGUUGGGGAACUUGGAGGCAUUCUUCUCAAACAAACCUUUGGUGUCUCCGUAUGUGGAUUAGUUGAGGUGCAGCUAGCUGAGUUCAACAGGGAAACUACAAAACUUAAUGACAGAGGCGGCCGGAGUGGGUGUGGAUCUGGAAUUGAAGAAGAUUCUUCUUCCUGGACUAAAUAUGAGGCCUGCUCAUAUGUCUUAUAUGUCUGGUACUUGUUACAGUCUUUUGUUCUCUUUGUAAUUAUCUUAUUGAGUAUUGGCUUACUUUCAGCUGUUU
Molecule: RNA transcript, 1213 nt
Organism: Cucurbita moschata (crookneck pumpkin)
Lineage: Eukaryota; Viridiplantae; Streptophyta; Magnoliopsida; Cucurbitales; Cucurbitaceae
Gene name: glyoxylate/hydroxypyruvate reductase HPR3-like
Exons: 3
Source: RefSeq, a predicted model, not a curated record